Molecule: unclassified non-coding RNA, 244 nt
Filed under: Exserohilum pedicellatum
Lineage: Eukaryota; Fungi; Ascomycota; Dothideomycetes; Pleosporales; Pleosporaceae
Also listed under: 2 other names
Description: partial internal transcribed spacer region
Rfam family: Eukaryotic small subunit ribosomal RNA (bases 1-46)
Source: RNAcentral
AAGUCGUAACAAGGUCUCCGUAGGUGAACCUGCGGAGGGAUCAUUACACAAAGAUAUGAAGGCGGGGUGCUGGCAACAGCGCUCUGCUGAAUUAUUUUUCACCCAUGUCUUUUGCGCACUUUUUGUUUCCUGGGCGAGUUCGCUCGCCACCAGGGACCCCCAUAUAAACCUUUUUGUUUAUGCAAUCAGCGUCAGUACAAUAAUGAAUUUAUUAAAACUUUCAACAACGGAUCUCUUGGUUCUG